This 428-nucleotide ribosomal RNA is filed under the name uncultured Rhodocyclaceae bacterium. RNAcentral describes it as "bacterial SSU rRNA". It matches the Rfam family "Bacterial small subunit ribosomal RNA", at positions 952 to 1374 of the family's 1533-position model. Lineage: Bacteria; Pseudomonadati; Pseudomonadota; Betaproteobacteria; Rhodocyclales; Rhodocyclaceae. The record is from RNAcentral.
CGAUGCAACGCGAAAACCUUACCUACCCUUGACAUGUCCGGAAUCCCGAAGAGAUUUGGGAGUGCUCGCAAGAGAACCGGAACACAGGUGCUGCAUGGCUGUCGUCAGCUCGUGCCGUGAGAUGUUGGGUUAAGUCCCGCAACGAGCGCAACCCUUGUCAUUAGUUGCCAUCAUUUGGUUGGGCACUCUAAUGAGACUGCCGGUGACAAACCGGAGGAAGGUGGGGAUGACGUCAAGUCCUCAUGGCCCUUAUGGGUAGGGCUUCACACGUCAUACAAUGGUCGGUACAGAGGGUUGCCAACCCGCGAGGGGGAGCUAAUCCCACAAAGCCGAUCGUAGUCCGGAUUGUUCUCUGCAACUCGAGAGCAUGAAGUCGGAAUCGCUAGUAAUCGCGGAUCAGCAUGCCGCGUCGAAUACGUUCCGGCCUU